This 901-nucleotide ribosomal RNA is filed under the name uncultured bacterium. RNAcentral's name for it is "bacterial SSU rRNA". It matches the Rfam family "Bacterial small subunit ribosomal RNA", at positions 26 to 898 of the family's 1533-position model. The record is from RNAcentral.
AGAACAAACGCUGGCGGCGUGCCUAACACAUGCAAGUCGUACGAGAAAGGGUUCUUCGGAACCUGAGUAAAGUGGCGCACGGGUGAGUAACGUGUGGAUAAUCUGCCCUUAGGUCGGGAAUAACUCAUCGAAAGGUGGGCUAAUACCGGAUAAUGCUGUUUUUACUUCGGUUGGACAGCCAAAGGGGGCCUCUGUAUGUAAGCUCUUGCUUAAGGAUGAGUCCGCGUACCAUUAGCUAGUUGGUGGGGUAAUGGCCUACCAAGGCGACGAUGGUUAGCUGGUCUGAGAGGAUGAUCAGCCACACUGGAACUGAGACACGGUCCAGACUCCUACGGGAGGCAGCAGUGAGGAAUCUUGCGCAAUGGGGGAAACCCUGACGCAGCAACGCCGCGUGAGUGAGGAAGGUUUUCGGAUCGUAAAGCUCUGUCGGGUGGAAAGAACGACAUGGAGGCUAAUACCUUUCAUGUUUGACAGUACCACCAAAGGAAGCACCGGCUAACUCCGUGCCAGCAGCCGCGGUAAUACGGGGGGUGCAAGCGUUGUUCGGAAUUAUUGGGCGUAAAGAGCGUGUAGGCGGCUUGAUAAGUCAGAUGUGAAAGCCCUGGGCUUAACCCAGGAAGUGCAUUUGAAACUGUCUCGCUAGAAUAAGGGAGGGGGGAAAGUGGAAUUCCUGGUGUAGAGGGUGGAAUUCGUAGAUAUCAGGAGGAACACCGGUGGCGAAGGCGACUUCCUGGCCCUAUAUUGACGCUGAGACGCGAGAGCGUGGGUAGCAAACAGGAUUAGAUACCCUGGUAGUCCACGCCGUAAACGAUGUUCACUAGGUGUUGGGGGUAUUGACCCCUGCUGUGCCGCAGUUAACGCAUUAAGUGAUCCGCCUGGGGAGUACGAUCGCAAGGUUAAA